Molecule: unclassified non-coding RNA, 720 nt
Filed under: Zea mays
Lineage: Eukaryota; Viridiplantae; Streptophyta; Magnoliopsida; Poales; Poaceae
Description: misc RNA Zm00001eb028640
Source: RNAcentral
UUGGAAAAGGCCGCCUACUUUAGAGAGCGGUACAAAAACUUAACUCCCGCCGAGAGGGAGUUUAGGCGUGAACGCCUUAGGUUGUACAAUAGUACACCAAAGCGGAAAGGGUCAAAGAUAGAGUACAUACGAAAACGUAGAGCACUGUUGGCUGACACAUUGAGUCAUGAGUCCAUCGCCAUGGAGUCCCCAACAUAUACCCCUAAGGUUGUACACCCUACAACAGAUGCCAUUGAACCUGAUGGAUCCGCAGUUACCCCCUGCGACUGGGUUAUCCCUGAAAUCGCCAGUAACCCGUUCCUGCCAGCUUCAACACAGACUGAGGAUGCCAAUUCACUGCAUAUGUCUACUGGACCACUAAGACGUAAACAACAUGUGCCACAUGGUGAAAGACAAUCUAUCUUAGCCCGUCGAAACCGGCAAUUUGAAGCAUCCAUUUCAAGGAACAUGGCUACUGCGACUGAUGAUACCAUCAAUGACGCUGGGGAAGGGGAUGAUUGGACACAACCCCAUAUUACUGCAACGAUCAACAACAAUGUACAAUGUAGGAGUCAAUGCCAUGGUGCUAUCGUGGCAACAAAUGAGAGUGCAAGUAUGACCGAACAAGGAAGUGGGGUUGAUCAUACCCAGUCGAAGCCAAGGGUCAUUUCCAAUGUUGAUGACGAUGACGGUGUCGUAUUUGAAGACGACGCUGAUGAGAACGAGGGAUACCUAUUCGCU